This 260-nucleotide ribosomal RNA is filed under the name uncultured Thermoascus. RNAcentral's name for it is "partial 28S rRNA". It matches the Rfam family "Eukaryotic large subunit ribosomal RNA", at positions 398 to 675 of the family's 3401-position model. Lineage: Eukaryota; Fungi; Ascomycota; Eurotiomycetes; Eurotiales; Thermoascaceae. The record is from RNAcentral.
UGUGAAAUUGUUGAAAGGGAAGCGCUUGCGACCAGACUCGCCCGCGGGGGUUCAGCCGGCACUCGUGCCGGUGCACUCCCCCGCGGGCGGGCCAGCGUCGGUUUGGGCGGUCGGUCAAAGGCCCCCGGAAUGUGUCGCCCCUCGGGGCGUCUUAUAGCCGGGGGUGCAAUGCGGCCAGCCCGGACCGAGGACCGCGCUUCGGCAUGGACGCUGGCGUAAUGGUCGUAAGCGACCCGUCUUGAAACACGGACCAAGGAGUA